Molecule: ribosomal RNA, 806 nt
Filed under: uncultured Pelagibacteraceae bacterium
Lineage: Bacteria; Pseudomonadati; Pseudomonadota; Alphaproteobacteria; Candidatus Pelagibacterales; Candidatus Pelagibacteraceae
Description: bacterial SSU rRNA
Rfam family: Bacterial small subunit ribosomal RNA
Source: RNAcentral
GCUGGCGGCACGCCUAACACAUGCAAGUCGAACGCAGUAGCAAUACUGAGUGGCAAACGGGUGAGUAUAAUGUGGGAAUCUGCCUUUUGGUUUGGAAUAACACGGGGAAACUUGUGCUAAUACCGAAUAAGCCCUUACGGGGAAAGUUUUAACGCCGAAAGAUGAGCCCGCACUUGAUUAGCUAGUUGGUAAGGUAAAAGCUUACCAAGGCAAUGAUCAAUAGCUGUUCUUAGAGGAAGACCAGCCACAUUGGGACUGAGACACGGCCCAGACUCCUACGGGAGGCAGCAGUGGGGAAUCUUGCACAAUGGGGGAAACCCUGAUGCAGCGAUGCCGCGUGAGUGAAGAAGGCCCUUGGGUUGUAAAACUCUUUCGUCGGGGAAGAAAAUGACUGUACCCGAAUAAGAAGGUCCGGCUAACUUCGUGCCAGCAGCCGCGGUAAUACGAAGGGACCUAGCGUAGUUCGGAAUUACUGGGCUUAAAGAGCUCGUAGGUGGUUAAAAAAGUUGAUGGUGAAAUCCCAAGGCUCAACCUUGGAACUGCCAUCAAAACUUUUUAGCUAGAGUGUGAUAGAGGUAAGUGGAAUUUCUAGUGUAGAGGUGAAAUUCGUAGAUAUUAGAAAGAACACCAAAUGCGAAGGCAACUUACUGGGUCACUACUGACACUGAGGAGCGAAAGCAUGGGUAGCGAAGAGGAUUAGAUACCCUCGUAGUCCAUGCCGUAAACGAUGUGUGCUAGACGUUGGAAAUAUAUUUUUCAGUGUCGCAGCGAAAGCGUUAAGCACACCGCCUGGGGAGUACGACCGC